UGCCAGCAGCCGCGGUAAUACGGAGGGUGCAAGCGUUGUUCGGAAUUAUUGGGCGUAAAGCGGGUGUAGGCGGUUGGAUAAGUCGGAUGUGAAAUCCCUGGGCCCAACCCAGGAACUGCAUCCGAAACUAUUCGGCUAGAGUCUCGGAGAGGGUGGCGGAAUUCCCGGUGUAGAGGUGAAAUUCGUAGAGAUCGGGAGGAACACCAGUGGCGAAGGCGGCCACCUGGACGAUGACUGACGCUCAGACCCGAAAGCGUGGGGAGCAAACAGGAUUAGAUA
This 279-nucleotide ribosomal RNA is filed under the name uncultured bacterium. RNAcentral's name for it is "partial 16S ribosomal RNA". It matches the Rfam family "Bacterial small subunit ribosomal RNA", at positions 506 to 784 of the family's 1533-position model. The record is from RNAcentral.